GGCAAACCGUGUUGACAUCCAGUAUCAAUAUCAAUAUUCGAAAAAAAUAACCACUUAUUCUGCAUGAUAAGUGUGUCUUCUAAUCAAUGCAAACUCCCAAACUUUUAUGCCAAAUGACUGAAGGAUCCUACUAAUAGGAAGGCUAGAGUAGAACUUGAUUCCUGAAUAGUCACAGCAGCGGAUCCCUGCGGCCGAAUCAGUGAUCCAAGAAGCUGAG
RNAcentral lists this unclassified non-coding RNA (217 nucleotides) under Hevea brasiliensis (rubber tree). The record is from RNAcentral. Lineage: Eukaryota; Viridiplantae; Streptophyta; Magnoliopsida; Malpighiales; Euphorbiaceae.